RNAcentral lists this ribosomal RNA (253 nucleotides) under uncultured prokaryote. Its description in RNAcentral is "partial 16S ribosomal RNA". It matches the Rfam family "Bacterial small subunit ribosomal RNA", at positions 525 to 777 of the family's 1533-position model. The record is from RNAcentral.
ACAGAGGGUGCUAGCGUUGUUCGGAAUCAUUGGGCGUAAAGGGCGUGUAGGCGGUUUGUUAAGUCAUGUGUGAAAACCCAUGGCUCAACCAUGGAAGGGCGUCCAAAACUGGCAAGCUAGAGUCCCGACGAGGAUGGCGGAAUUCCCAGUGUAGAGGUGAAAUUCGUAGAUAUUGGGAGGAACACCGGUGGCGAAGGCGGCCAUCUGGGAGGGCACUGACGCUGAGACGCGAAAACGUGGGGAGCAAACAGGA